RNAcentral lists this ribosomal RNA (468 nucleotides) under uncultured bacterium. Its description in RNAcentral is "partial 16S ribosomal RNA". It matches the Rfam family "Bacterial small subunit ribosomal RNA", at positions 28 to 507 of the family's 1533-position model. The record is from RNAcentral.
GACGAACGCUGGCGGCGUGCUUAACACAUGCAAGUCGAACGGAAAGGCCCUGCUUUUGUGGGGUGCUCGAGUGGCGAACGGGUGAGUAACACGUGAGUAACCUGCCCUUGACUUUGGGAUAACCUCAGGAAACUGGGGCUAAUACCGGAUAGGAGCUCCUGCUGCAUGGUGGGGGUUGGAAAGUUUCGGCGGUUGGGGAUGGACUCGCGGCUUAUCAGCUUGUUGGUGGGGUAGUGGCUUACCAAGGCUUUGACGGGUAGCCGGCCUGAGAGGGUGACCGGCCACAUUGGGACUGAGAUACGGCCCAGACUCCUACGGGAGGCAGCAGUGGGGAAUAUUGCACAAUGGGCGGAAGCCUGAUGCAGCAACGCCGCGUGCGGGAUGACGGCCUUCGGGUUGUAAACCGCUUUCGCCUGUGACGAAGCGUUAGUGACGGUAAUGGGUAAAGAAGCACCGGCUAACUACGUG